This 694-nucleotide small RNA is filed under the name Pongo abelii (Sumatran orangutan). RNAcentral's name for it is "retained intron". The record is from RNAcentral. Lineage: Eukaryota; Metazoa; Chordata; Mammalia; Primates; Hominidae.
UAUCAAUCAUAUCAAUCUAAAAUAUCUUUAUUCAUGUUAUCUACAGACGUGGAAUAGCUGCACAACCUCUUUAUGCUGGAUAUUGUAACCAUGAGAACAUGUAAAAAAUGGAGAGGAAAAAGGCCACAGCAAUCUGUACUACAAUCAACUUUAUUUUGAAAUCAUGUAAAAUAAGAUAUUAGACUUUUUUAAAUAAAAUAUUUUUAUUGAUUGAACCUUUGACCCUCUAUCUUAUUACAUAUAGAGGCCUGGCAUCUUUCUCGUGAGACAAGCUUAAAGACACAAAAGAAACACGACUUCGUGAUACCACUCUUCCGAAGGCUACUUAUAGUAAUAACUUCAUAGAUGAACAGCAUGAUUCAGGUUAUUGAUUGUCUAUUCAUUGGCAUAUUAUAUCCCCUGAAUUAAGAAGAAUAUGUACUUUUCAGUUACAAAGUACCUACCAUAAUUUCUGCUAAGGGAACAAAUCCAAUAACAACUUUGUUGUCCUGGCGAGUCUGAAUUUCCUGAAUGUUUCCUCUUCUUUGUGCCAGAUCUGCCAGGACAGGGCUGAGAUAAUCUCUAGCUACUGUAACCUCAAGAUUCAUCAGAGGCUCCAAAACUUGCUUAUCAGCUUUCUUCAGAGCCUAAAGAAAUUAAAGAAUGUUAACUUAUCUUUCAUAAAUAAAAACUUAAAAUAAAUACAGCCUAGAGC